ACGUAUUGUAAUAAAACUAGGACAUAAUUUUAUACUUAAUACAUUCAUAUGAUCAAUAAAAAGGCAAGUUUAGCUUUUAUUCAAGUGUGAUGUGUCUUUGAAUCAUCUAUGAAAUUAACAUUUCGAUAUAUAUUCUCAAAGUAUUAAAAAUUAGAGACAUAUAUUUAAUUCUUAAAUACUCUCGAUCAUAGUAUCAUUAUGAGGAUGGUGAUUGAUGAGGAUAGACUGGUGCAC
Molecule: long non-coding RNA, 234 nt
Filed under: Elaeis guineensis (African oil palm)
Lineage: Eukaryota; Viridiplantae; Streptophyta; Magnoliopsida; Arecales; Arecaceae
Description: long non-coding RNA (EGUI_LNC051931)
Source: RNAcentral